Molecule: long non-coding RNA, 2453 nt
Organism: Astatotilapia calliptera (eastern happy)
Lineage: Eukaryota; Metazoa; Chordata; Actinopteri; Cichliformes; Cichlidae
Source: Ensembl
GGCAAGUUUUUCAAGUAAACCAAACAGCCUUCUCUGCUCUUUCCUCCAUUUCCCUUCACAUUCUCAUAUCCAAUCUUUCUUUUCUUUCUUGGUUGCAGCUGGUCCUCAUCCUCCUGGACGAGUGGUAGAAGACCUCCGUCCUAACACCUCAUCCAUGAGGGAAACCAGGGCCAUGUAGCAGCAGUGGGCUUCCCACUCACUCCCACGCCUGACGCUGGAUACUAGCAAUCGUAAAGGCAGAGGAAAGGUGGCAGCUGACAAACGCAGCAACAGUGCAGGUUUAUAUGAAUACGUUCAAUAAUGUCUGGUUAAAAAUUCAGAUUUGAAUACUGCUGUCCAUACUUUGUUUUUCUUUCUUUUUUUUGACACUUUUUAUUUGUUUAGGAACAUUUUUAUGCAACAAGAUAAAAUAAAAAAAUAAAAAACAAACAGUAUGAGGUCAUGGGACACAACAGGCAGCUUAGAAUACAGUUGAAUAAACAUUAAAAACAACAGAUGAUGAAAUCAUUUCUGAUAGUAUGAUGUCAUAUUUUGACCAACACAGUGCAUCUGUUUACAUUUCAAAACCCAUCAUUCUAAAUAUUUUGUUAAUGUGACAUUGCUGUUACAUGUUGGUACGAACAUAUGGCUUCUUCAUACCGCAGUCUUCGUGAAUGAUGCGGUGUGCAGCGGUGUGCAGCUGUGUGCAGCUGUGGGCCAUAAGCACACUGGUUCAGCUUCACAUGGGAGACCUUUAUGUGGUCACAAAGUGGUGAAUGGCUGCCUCCCUCCACAGGGAGACUGUCAUGGUUCAACCAUCCUGGAAUCACAAACAUGACAGAAUGAAAGAUUUAUUCAUUAACUAACACACAAAGCCCACAGGCGCACACAAAGCCCACAGGCGCACACAAAGCCCACAGGCACACACAAAGCCCACAGGCACACACAAAGCCCACAGGCACACACAAAGCCCACAGGCACACAAAGCCCACAGGCACACACAAUCUGCUCACCUACCGCCAAAUGUACCAGAUGACUUUCAGCUGUCAGUAUCACACUUCAGGUGCAGCAUUACCUGCUUCAGCUGGAGAGUUUUUAUAGGAACGUGUUGUUUCCCUGACAACCUUCCUCACUGCCAAACACAGAAAAGUCCAUUAAAAUUAACGUCAGUUAUAGUGAGUGUAUAGAUCCGUGACAGGCGUUUGUUUCUUGACGAGUCUACAAACACCUUGGACACACAACACGUUUGAGUAUUUUCCUUUAAACCCAUGCUUCAGCGACAGCUUUCACUACAUUAUAUGUCGACUACUUCCAUUGUUCCUCCUUUUGUUUUCAUUGUAUACAUCACACUCACUAAAGCCGUUUGUCUGUGCAUUUAAAACGAUAUAAUCUAAUCCUUCCAUCAUUGUUAGCGAGCACAUAAAGACUGUUGAGUGUAAUCUAGCCCAUACAAUACAAAUGUAUGUAGGCAUGAUGGAAAUGGACUGUAUGAAUACCAGAAACACAAAUGAUAAAAUAAUAGUGGUUGUUCAUGUUCCCACAAUUUAGUGUUUGACUGACAACAAUUUUGACUGGUAAAUGCAUAAAAACAAUAACGGUUUCUUUGAAAAGCUAAAUAUCAGUUCUGAUGGGACCACAGAUACUGACCUCCACGACCCCCCCUUGGUUGAGCUCAUCUUUGGCGUCGUUACAGGCCAGGAGGAUGCAGAAGAUCCUCCGCUUUCGCAGUAAGACCUUCUGCCAGUGGAAGGGCAGGUGCCCUGAAAAACUGAGUCCAUGCAGUGAUGUUUAUGACCUAAGGGGGAGCUGUGCCUCUCAGUUCAUGCCCCCUUAUUAUAUAUAUGAGGCCCCCCCUCGUGGACUUUGGAGAACUCCUCAAACACGCUUCACUACAAUCUCCCCAUCGGUGAUGGCUGCCACCUUAUUACACUUUGUAAUGUGUGGUUUAGCCACUCCCUCUUUCAAGUCCCAGGUGAUCACCCCGACCUGGUCGCAUCGUUUUAAAACCCGGAUAUGCAACGGUGGUGGAAAUAAGGCAUCUCUUCAUCAAACACAUUAACAGGUUAAUACAUUUCUGCUGGAUCCAGUUCUGAUAUAAUACAGUAACACCUGCUGCUGUCAUGGAGUCUCUUUGCAUUUUGAGAUGGCACAAACAUCGUUAAUCUCUUAAACACCAAGUGUGUUUCUGAGGUUCCUGCUUGAAAUUUACACGCCCGAAAUCAUUACAAUAUUUCUCUGAAAGUACAAACUCUGUCUACAAAAUUAACUUGACACUUAUGAGCCUUCAUCAAAUACAUACAAAUAUUACAGCUCAUGCACGUCUGUCCAACUCACUCUGAUAGAACCCAGUCACUGUUUUUGUAGCAAAUAAUCCCUUUUGAAAAUAAGUUACAGUACACAAUACACUAGAAAACAGGGAAGAUGUUCAUAGGAAGAUUAUGUGAGACACGAUUCAUGCGGCUGAAGUGAAACAG